UUCCCUUCCCUUCCUCCUCCCUCACCGCCGCUAACUUCCCCCAGACGUUCCGGGAGAACGCCGCCUUCGUGAACACGAGGAUCGACUGGAAGGAGACCCCGGAGGCCCACGUGUUCCGGGCGGAUCUCCCCGGGCUCAAGAAGGAGGAGGUCAAGGUGGAGAUCGAGGAGGAUCGGGUGCUCCAGAUCAGCGGCGAGCGGAACAUGGAGAAGGAGGACAAGAACGACACCUGGCACCGGAUGGAGAGGAGCAGCGGCAAGUUCAUGAGGAGGUUCAGGCUGCCGGAGAACGCGAGGAUGGAUCAGGUGAAGGCCUCGAUGGAGAACGGGGUGCUGACUGUCACUGUUCCCAAGGUGGAGGAGAAGAAGCCCGAGGUCAAGGCCAUCGAGAUCUCCGGUUGAGAGGUGGUGAAUCUACGGUCGGCGCUGCGACCUGUGUAUACAUAUGCAUAUAGAGUGCCUGUGUGUGCCGUCUGCUGUGUGGCUUUUGCGUGUCCUGAGUUGGGAGUCGCGGUCUAUGGCGAUGUCUGAUAUGGCAAUGUUAAAUAACUACAGUGACUCUCUACUUGUAAUGAGAUCUGAGAUAUUAUGUAAUAUAUAGUAACUUCUACUUUUUGUGAUAUCGGUUCCUCAAAUUCUUUCGGUUUUUUCACCUUUCCAUUUUCCUAUUGCACUGAAUUUGCCUACUACUGCUUUGUUCCAAGGGAGUUCAAUUGGUUCGUUCUUUUUGCAACGAUUAAUUCAAUUUGUUGGAAGGAUUCCUCGGAUGUGCAAGUGCUGUACUCGUUGCGAUCAUUUUUAGAAUUGGGUUUGCGGUACCCACAAAACAUUGUACUCAUGAGCUCGGCGCGAGCUGCAGGGUGUCAGAUAACAGGAGCAGUUAUCCCAACAAGCUUUUCAAUUUCUGCAUGAUCAUCAUCGGAUCAGAGAUCGAGUUCUCUAGUUCUUCUAUUGUAGUGUGUGAACAAGCACCUUUCUUGAUGCUCAAGCUCGACUUACUGUCUUGUCUUUGAAAGCUGUGUCUCUUAGCCUCAUCUCUUUCCCUUCCUCCCCCAUCAACCAUCAGUCUUCCUUGCUGCUUUUGACAUAUUAUAUAUUAAAAAUAUUUUUAUAUAUAAAUACAUAAAUGAAUAAAUAAUAAUAAUAAAAAGAACAUAAAAUUAUUUUAUUUUAAAAAUAUUAAUUCAAUAUUAUUUAUUAUUUUAAUUUGAUAAAUUCAAUUAUAUUCUAUUGCAAUAAUUCAUAAAAUUUGGAAGGAAAAAAAAGUAAGAGAAAAUCUCAAAUAAGAAUACAAAGUUUUGUUCAAAAAAAAAAAAAAAAAAUAAGAAUACAAAGUGAGUUUAUUUUUUCAAAUAAAAUUUUAAAGUGACAUUUGUUCCAAAUAAAGAUCCAAAGUGGCUAACAAGUCUCAAAUAAGGAUCUGAAUUUGUCAUUCGGUGAAAAUGUUUACCGGCUAGCGAGUGUGUGACAUUUUCGGUGGCCGAAAUAUGAGCAAUUUUGUCUAAAAAAAAUAUAGAUAGAAAUUAACAAAUCAUAAAAACAAAACUCCACAAACUCUUCACGUUCUUUCGACCUAAAAAAAACUCCACAUUCUCAUGUUUUUCUUCUUUUGCUCUUCAUCUUCUCUGUUCUUUGUCCUCUCUCGUUUGGAGCACCGAAAUUUUCUGUUAAUGGAACACGAAUUGAAACACAACAAAAAAACCCCUACCUUCGUUUCUUUACAUAUUCUUCUUUUGUUUUUAGUCUUCGUUUCAACGAAAAAGACAAAUCUCGAGUAAGCCAAGGAUCUUGCUCCAUUAACAGAGAAUUUGGCUUCUCCAAACGAGAGGGGACAAAGAACAUAACGUAAAAGAUGAGGAGUAGAAGAAGAAGAACGUAAAGAGUAUGGGGGUUUUGUUUUUAAGUUUUGUUAAUUUCUAUCUAUAUUUUUUUUGGACAAAAUUGCCCGGAAAUGUCAUAUGCUCAUCGGCCGGUGAACAUUUUGGCCGGCCGGUAGGUUUAGGUUUUUAUUUGAGACUUAUUAGCCACUUCAGGUCAUUAUUUGGAAUAACAAUUAUUUCGGGUCAUUAAUUGAGAUUUCCCAAAAAGUAAUUCAAGUUUUAGUAUUAAAUUUAGGGAUAUAUGCGGUAUAAGUUUUAAAAUUUAUCGUGAAAGUAUAAUUGAAUUUUAAAAUUGAUCAAAUUGGUACAAUCAAGUCUUUUUGUUGAUAUCGUCAAUUUGUUUAACAAAAAAUCUUGAAGAAGAAUUUUUAAAUUAAUUUAUUUAUCUUAUGUGGUAUUUUUUAUUAUUUUUUCUUUAAAUCUUAUUUAAAGAAUAGUAAUUAUUUUUAUUAAAAAAGCUAAAAUAAUUCUUAACCUGAAAAAAAAAAGGUAGGUUAGCUGCUUGGUUGGAUAGGCGACUGCCACCGUGGAGGGGGUCGGCGAGAUCGGUGGCCCUAGGUGAUGGUGGGUGGCAACUUGUGGUGGAGUUGGGGGGCCUUGCAAGGCCUCGCCGGCCUCGAGCGAGGGCAUGGCAUCGCCCAGAUUUGGGCGAGCCUCACUCGGGCCUCUAAGGCAUCGCUUAGAUCUAGGCGAGCCUUGCUGGCCCUUGCUUGAUUGGUGAUGGCUUCGCUUGGGCUGGCGAGAUGGCCCACCCGCCACUUAGGGCCAGUACUUCGAUAGUGGUAGCGGCGCCAAUCUACCCCUUUUUUUUAUAUAUUUAUUAUUUGAUCUCUCAAGUAUUGAAAAAUUUUAAAAUUGACCCCAUGCGUAUUAGAAUUCCGGAUUUGCAUAUUGGAGCUUGUCAGGGAGAGUUGACCACAGUUGGAUUUUUCCAAACUCAUUGAUCGCAUGUUGGAGCGUAGGACAUCACACAAAGGCUUUUGGAAAGUGUCGCUACUUCUUAGAUUCCACCUGAGUCCAAAAGCCUGGAAACUUCCUCCUGCAGAGCCCAUCUCACUACGCGACCAGUUUCUCUGAUUGUCUCUUUGAACCCUUCCGGUAACAGCUCGAAUCCACUCUGAGCCUCUGACCAUGCCAGUCCGACCAUCCACAAGAACGUUGCUGUUCGCCAGCCCCCAGCCGUUUCUGCAAACUCUACCUGAGCCAUUUUGAAGCCAAGAUUCCUAAGCUCACACGUGUAACUGAAUAUUUGCUUGCUUAUCAAGCCCCAAGAGGCAACCGGUUUCUUCCCCUAAUAUGCUGGUUGUGUUGGAGUCAACGCCUAAUAUGAAAAUAAGAUAAGUUCUAGUUGGACUUUGCCUCUGAUGUGCCGACUUAUUCCAGUGAGAAUGCUGGAUAUUCAAAAGCGGUGAGUGAAACCAAAAGUGAAGAACUCUUGGUCAAAAAGCAGAGGAACCGCCUCUGUCUCUCUGUCUGUCUAGAUUUGUCUCUUGUCCUCCAGAAGCCGCAAGUUGCUAGAGAAGAAAGUCAAAAGAAAAGUUGCAGCCCACAAUUGUUGACUCCUCAGCCAAGAAGAAAAUGAAAGUCCAUCAUGCAUGAAGUCUGGACGUGAGGCCGUGAAGUUUGAGCCUUCAAGUAAGGCUUGGCAGUGCCAACGUAAGGUAGGCCUCACAAGUCGAGAGAAGAAGAGAUUAAGAGAGAAAGAGAGUCUCGUCAGAGAGAAAGCAAGGUGUGAGCUUCACGCCAGAGAGGGCCUCAAGUCACCAGGUGCAAAGUACAUCAACGAAUCAUGAAUCACGCAAGAGAUUUUAUUGUUGCUCCUUCCUCUGCCAUCAUAUCUGAGAAUACUUGGUGGAGAGGUCCUUCACAGUUGGUGUUGAGUCUUGCUGCAAGAGCUAAGGGAACUCAGAGGAGAGGUCAUCCUUUGGUAAGCAGUGGGGAAAUAGAUAGGAAGAUAUAAUUGGGGAUACUGCACGGACCGGGAUGAUCGAAUUGAGUGUGACCUAUUCCAAUGGGGAAGCACUUGGAAUGCAGGACUGACCUCAAUUGAGCAUCGGGGUUAUGUGCCCUUGAAAGGAACAUCAGGACUUGCACCUAUCUACGAUUGCGUCUCCGUCCUCGUUCCUCCAUUGCUCUCAUCUGACCACAACCAGAGCCUGGGUCCUGGAUCAUUUGAGCAUACGAAAAGUAUUAUAUUCGGUACUGCGUCGAUUGCAUGUUAAGAAAAAUAAAGGAGACUUCUCUAGUUAUUUCGUGUUUCUUGCCUGGAUGGUAAAAUUGAAAGGGGCAUACAAAUCGAUUACAUCAUUGAAAGGUGACGGGAUUAUGGGAGAGCGACUUUCGUACUAUGAGACAUGUGGAGGAAACAAAACUACAUGAGAAUACCUGAAAUUUUGUUACCUUUCAUAUCUGGAUUUGCUCGUUCUUAUGUUAAAGCCAGCAGAGAUAAUUCCUCCUCUGGCAAGCUAGCUUCUUUCACCGAGGACUUCUGGUUAAUUUGACUUCCAUCCCAAAACUUGGUCUUAUCUCUUUGCAGAUUUUCACUAUUCCACUGGAGGCGACUCCUCCUAUCUGAUGGCAUUGAAAUCCACUGCUACCGACGUCACCAUAAGCUCGUUAUUGAUCCGAAAUGAAGUGAUUAUAACUCGGUUUUAACAUGAGAGUGCUUGAACCUUCUUAAAAAAAUUCAAAUCAAAGAAUUUUUUGGGAAUCCUACAACCAUAUUAGCCUAACAGAAAAAUCGUCUUGGAGCAGAGUCACGUACACAUAUGUAUUGUAGCCGACACGCACAACCUUAGGCGAGCUGAUAGAGCUUGUCUAUCCAAGAAAGCUAGAGAAAGCAUGACUUAGAAGCACAAGAGCUUCAAAGUCUGCAUUAUUUCAGAUAACUAGCUAUUUCUCGAGACAACUCAAGUGUAUCAAAGAAAUAUAAAGCUCCAUGAUUCAGUUGCUGUGAAAAUCGAAUUGAUCUGGAGGAUUCUCAUAUUCUUUUUUUUAUGAGAUGUGAAAUGAAAAACCUUGUCGUUAAGAUAAAGACCAAUUUUUAUGCUACUACUUCUUUCUUUUGUCAAAUGACAUGAGUGGUCUCUCGUGAUUGACUUAAGAAAGAAGGUUCAUCCUCAAAAUGUUGUCCCUGCAACAACAACAAAAACAACCGAGUCUCAUUCUGCUAAGUGAGGUCCAUCGUAUGAAUCCUAUUAUGCCAUUGCAUUUUAUCCUUUGUUAGAUUAUCUGUGAAAUAUAGAUAGUACCCUACUUAUCGUUGGGUUAGUGAUAUCUUUCAUUGUCAUUUCCUUCCACAUCUUUUUCUGGUUUCUCUUGUCCCUUUUAACAAUGGAUCCAAUCUUUAAUCUCACAUAGCGUCGUAGGGCACUUGAAAGCUUUCCUUCAACAUUACCAAACCAUCUUAAAUGGCCUUCCUCAUCUCAAAAUGCCUUUGAGAUGUUAUCUGUAGAAUGGUUAUGGUGAAAUCGACUUAUUACUUUUAUCUGCCUAUUAUCCUAUCUAAUUUCAAAUGUGUUAUGCUUUUGAUUUUGAUUGACUUGUUUUACUACGCGUUAUUACCACGUUAUGUAACCAAUAAUGACACAACUGUCACAUAAAACAUCUUCUCCACAUGUAAGGGAUGGGAAGAAGUAAUGAUAAUCAAUUGAAGAAUGAAAUUGUGGAUAGUGCAAUGGGAAAAAUGAGGUUCGGGUAAAGAUUAAUAUCAAUAACAAUCAUUAUCAAACUCUUUCCAUGAGUAAAAUAAUAUUUGGGAGAGAAAAAAAAUCGUUGGAACUACCAUGAUAUAAACAAUGACAUCUCACAACAAGGUUAUGUAACCAAUAAUGACGCGACCAUUACAUAAAACAUCAUCUCCACAUGCAAGGGAUGGGAAGAAGUAAUGAUAAUCAAUUGAAAUGAUUAAUAAGAAUGAAAUUGUGGAUAGUGCAAUGGGAAAAAUGAGGUCCAGGUAAAGUUUAAUAUCAAUAACAAUUAUUAUCAAACUCUUUUCACGAGAAAAAAGAUUAUUUGAGAGAUGGAAAAAAUUGUUGGAACUAUCAUAAUAUAAAGAAUGACAUCUCACAAUAGGGAUUAAGUAUGCGCAUUUGUUUCAACAUUUCAAAGGGUCCUCCAAAAGCUUUUGGGACGAAAUUGUUCCCUGAGCCGCAAGAGGUUCCAUGAUCUAGGCGCUUGCUCGACCUCUUCGAGGCUGCCAAACGAUUCGCUUUCCAGGCCUGCUUCCAAGAUAAUAUAUUUCCAUUCUCCAGUGGCCAUACCCCAUGGUUUUUCGUUUUUUUACCUUCAAAGCUACUUUGAAAAAUGCCCCAACCAAACCUUAUCUGCUCAAAGCAAAUAAUAGGCUUUGCGUCUUAAAGACACUCUCUCGAGAAUCUUCCAAAUGAACCCUAAAAACCCCAUUGCUAUGAGGUCAUUGGCCCAGUAUCUCCGUAUUAGCAGAAUGGCUAUAGUUUUGCUUUGGGAGAAGCUCCUCGAACCGCAUCUUUUGAUUAGCGGAAAAUAAACGCGAGCUGUAAUCAUGAUUUGGGAUCCAAUUAAAUUUAUUGGCUGGACGAAAUUUUAUUUAAUCAAUAAUAGAGGAAAUUAAGGGCGAUAACAAAAUAGAAAUUCAGAAUUCGUUUUAUCGUCUCAUGGGACGAGUUCGAGUUUUUUCUUUCCCUUACUGAAAAGAUCCUGACGAGGCCCAGUCCGAGGUUUCCAGAUGGACGGACCGGAUUCGCCAAAUCACUGGAACGUUCGUCCUAAAGACCGCGGGGGUACGAGAAUGCUCCUCCGUUUCCUAUUUAACACCCGACGCCACCACUUCCAAACCAUAUCGUCUGACGAUAGCAAUUCCUGUCUUAGUCCGAGCAUUCUGUCAAACGUUUCGUCGGCUCAAUCUCAUAUAUUCGCCGGUAAUCCCACAGCCAUGUCGCUCAUCCCAAGCUGGUUCGGCGGCCGCCGCAGCAACGUCUUCGACCCUUUCUCCCUCGACCUCUGGGAACCCUUCAAGGACUUCCCUUUCCCUUCCUCCUCCCUUUCCGCCUCUGAUUUCCCCCAGGCGUUCCGGGAGAACACUGCUUUCGUGAACACGAGGAUCGACUGGAAGGAGACCCCGGAAGCCCACGUGUUCAAGGCGGAUCUCCCCGGGCUCAAGAAGGAGGAGGUCAAGGUGGAGAUCGAGGACGAUCGGGUGCGCCAGAUAAGCGGCGAGAGGAACGUGGAGAAGGAGGACAAGAACGACACGUGGCACCGGGUGGAGAGGAGCAGCGGGAAAUUCAUGAGGAAGUUCAGGUUGCCCGAGAACGCGAGGAUGGAUCAGGUGAAGGCGUCGAUGGAGAACGGGGUGCUCACCGUGACUGUUCCCAAGGUGGAGGAGAAGAAGCCGGAGGUCAAGGCCAUCGAGAUCUCUGGUUGAGAGAUGGUGAAUCUGCGGCUGGCGCGACAACUUGUGUAUACACGUACACAGAGUGAGUGUCUGCGUGUGCUGUCUGCUGUGUGGCUUUCGCAUGUCCUGAGUUGGCCUGAGUUGGGAGUCUCGGUCCUCGUCUUUGAUAUGGCGGUGUAAUAGGUUGGAAAUAUGGCGAUGUGACAUAACUAUAGUAACCUGUUUUAUGUGAUAUCGGUUCCUCAAAAUCUUUCGGUUUUCUCGCCUUUCGCUUCCCCAUUCAGCACCGAAUUACGGCCUUGUCCCAAGGGACUUAAUUUAGUUCUUUUUUGGGAUGGUUAAUUCAUUCUCUUGGAAGAAUUCCUGUGAAGUGCAAGUGUUGUACUCGCAGGUUGUGAUCAUUUGUUUUUUUUUUUUUUUUCAAUUGGGUUUGGGGGUACCUGCAAAUUGCAUCGAGAGAAGCUGACAACUUUCGGGAUGAAACGAGGCUUAGAACCAUGAUUCUCCUUUUGAGCUCAGCGCGAGCUGCAGGGUUUCUUAUGCUGCAUUGUAUUGGGUUUGUCAGAUAACAUGACUAGAUAUCCCAACAAGUUUUUUAUUUCCGCUUGAUCGUCAUCAAAUCAGAGAUAACAAGAUCAGAUAUCCUUUCCUGAUGCUUAGCUCGAUUUCGUCUUUGAAAGCUCCGGGUUUCAUCCUCAUCUCUUCCCCAUCAACCAUGAGUCUCCUCACCGCUUGCUCCAUCUCUCUCUGGUUUAGAUCACCCUCCAACUCCAAUCCCACCAUUCAAACGUGGCACGGGUACCCUGCCUUCACAUUCUGGUCCCUACGGUUGGUGUAUCGUUGGGACUCCUUAGGAAAUAAUUUCCAAGGAACUAGUUCCAUCUGCAAAAGGUCCAAAAGCCUCCCGAGUUACGUGUGCUAAAACUUGCACCUCAUGAGCCCAUCUCGUAACACGGCCAAUUUUUGUUGGCUUUUUUGGACCCUUGCGCUAACAGCUCGAUCCACUCUGAGCCUCUGACUGAGCGAGGUCGGACCAGCCGGAAGAAUGCCACUCUUUGCCAGCCCCCAAGCCGUUUCUGCAAACUCUCCCUGAUCUAUUUUGAAGCCAAGCUUUCCUAAGCUCACAAGUAUAACUGAAUUAUGUGCUUGCUUAUCAAGCCACAAGAGGCAACUGGUUUCUUCCCUCUAUUAUACUGGUUGGCAAAGCCGGAGCAACUUUGUGCAGCGAGCCUGGUGAAAAAAAUGGCGCUCGUUAUUGUCUAUGGAGUUGGUCCGGUAACUGUUUCUCCAGGCAGUCCACUGUUCCAGAAAAUGCCUGAAGAUGCUCUGUUGUUAAUCAGGAUGGCUGCUAACUUCAUCAUGGGUUCUAAAUCGCCUGGUGAUACAAGUCCAUGCAUCUCGUGGGAUAAGCGCCUGGAAUAGUCUCAAUCGAUGUUGGACCUAAAGAGUCAAGGUGCUGCAGCUUAGCAUGUAUUGGUUCUACGACUUCAUAGUCUGAUAGAAAACAUAAAAACUUAUCCAAGAUUUGAAUAUUCCAGCAAGUCAAAAGAGAGAUACAACUUUUAUUCGAAUUUGAUACACUGUAGACUGCUUUCUUCCUUCCUAGUUGGAUUGCUCGACAUGAAUACGAGAGAAUAUGAUAUUAUAUGCAGUUUCAGCACGUGUGGUACUGUUGACUUCAAUUACAUGCCUCCUCUGUCCUCUGACUAAAGGAAGAGGUAAUGACUGGUUUAGACGGUGGGGCAACGGCUAUUGGAGCGUUUUACCUUCUGGAAACUGAGUCGCCCUAAAGACUUGGUAUGCUUACCUUUUCUUUGCAGCAAGAGCAUUUUACGAAAACACAGAGAGCCCCGUUAAAGUACUGCUUAAUGAGUAGUAGACGAUGAAAAUUGCAAGCCAAACUCAAAAUAUGUCUACAUGGACGAAUGAUGCAAGCUGUUGAGCGCAAUUCCUAUUUGAGUCACGCUGAUUAAUUGACUCUCUCUUUAGAUUGGCCAAGCAGUUUCUUUAAAUCUUGAAGAGACCCUCGCAGUGCUUUGGGAUAGCAAACAUAAUCAAGUCAGGAGCCUUUCCAGUUUAGUAGAGUACGACCAAAGAGAGCGCAUUCUUAACAUCCAAUCAGUACUGUGUGAUUGUUACUCUUGAUUUCUAGUGAAAUUCCUAUCGAGCUCCAUCACUGAGGUAAAGAAGGGUUUACUGCAAGUAUCAUUAUCUUAGAGUUUGUUGUGUAUGUUGAUAUCCGAGGGUUAAAGAUACCUUUUCAAGGAAAAUAACUUUUCUUUUGGAGCCAAGGGGGUUCAGAGAAAACCAGCAGAGUGCCCUACUACAAGAGCGCAAAGCAAUGCUAGGAAGUUCUAUAUGAUGAGCUGCCACCUAGCAAAGUACAUCAAUUCAAUCUUUUCCAGUUAAUUUUGGUCAAAUUUUGUUGACUAAAUAUCGAUCGGUUGACGUGAUACGAUCGACGCUGACGUGGAUAAUUUUUAAUAAUAUUUUAAUUUUUUUGGAUUUGAAUUUUACUUAAUUUUUCUUUUUCUUUUUUUUCAUUUUUUUUUCUUCUUCUCCUUCCUCUAGUCAAUCGUCAGACCUUUGGCAAUUGGCCAUCGGCAAGGCUUGAGCCCUCGCCAGAGGCUGUGAGGGCGAUCGACAAUCAGCCAGAGAAGACAGCUGGCGAGGUUGAGGAGGAAGGAGGGGCACAAAGAAAAAAGAAGAAAAAAGAAAAGGAAAAAAGAAAAAGAAAAAGAAAAAGAAAAAAAAGAAAAAAGAAAAGAAAAGAAAAAGGAAAAAAAUAUUAAAAUAUUAAAAUAUUAAAAUAUUAAAAUAUUAAAAUAUUAAAAUAUUAAAAUAUUAAAAUAUUAUUAAAAGUUGUUAACGUCAGCGUCAAUCGUGUCAUAUCCAAUGCUUAGUCAGCAAAAUCCGGCUAAAAUUAAUUGGAAAUUAUCGAAUUAACACAAAAUAAAAAUAUUUAAGACUAAAUUGGUAUUUAUAAAAUAUUUAGAAUUAAAUUAGCAUAAAUAUAAAAUGUUUAGGAUUUCUUGGACACUUUUCCCCCAAUAAACUUGAUUUAUAUUCAUGAUUUAGGAUUCAUUGAAUGUAAUUAGACAAAAUCUUAUUUAAUCAAGAAUAGAGGAAAUUAAGGGCGAUUACAAAAUAGAAAUAGAAAUCGUCAUUGUCGUAAUGUGACGGACCAGGUGUUUCCAGAUGGACCUACGGGAUUCGCCAUUUCACUUGAACGUUCGUCCGUCCGUCCGUUCGAGCGGGACUGGAAAGACCGCGAAGGUACUAGAAUGAUCCUCUCUUUCCUAUUUAACUCCACGACUUGUCUUCUAAGCUCCAUCGUCGAACGGUAGCAAUUCUCAUCAUCUUCCUUAAGCAUUCCAUCGAACACUUUCUCCGCUCGGUCUCGCAUUUUCACCGGUAAACCCAACAACCAUGUCGCUCAUCCCAAGCUGGUUCGGCGGCCGCCGCAGCAACGUCUUCGACCCUUUCUCCCUCGACCUCUGGGACCCCUUCAAGGACUUCCCUUUCCCUUCCUCCUCCCUCUCCGCCUCUAAUUUCCCUCAAACUGUCCGGGAAAAUACUGCUUUUGUGAACACGAGGAUCGACUGGAGGGAGACCCCGGAGGCCCACGUGUUCAAGGCGGAUCUCCCCGGGCUCAAGAAGGAGGAAGUCAAGGUGGAGAUCGAGGACGAUCGGGUGCUCCAGAUAAGCGGCGAGAGGAACGUGGAGAAGGAGGACAAGAACGACACGUGGCACCGGGUGGAGAGGAGCAGCGGGAAAUUCAUGAGGAGGUUCAGGCUGCCGGAGAACGCGAGGAUGGAUCAGGUGAAGGCCUCGAUGGAGAAUGGGGUGCUCACCAUCACUGUUCCCAAGGUGGAGGAGAAGAAGCCUGAGGUCAAGGCCAUCGAGAUCUCCGGUUGAGAGUCGGUGAAUCUAUGGUCCUCGUUACGACUUGUGUCUAUAUAUAGAGCAAGUAUGCUGUGCUAUGUGAGGGUUGGGAGGCUCGGUCCCAUGGUGUCUGAUAUAGCGAUAUGUUGUCCGCCGAUGACUCUUUAGUUGUAAUGAAAUUCGAAGUUACUAUUUUCUAACUUCUGUUUGAGGUGAUAUUGGUUGCUCAAAAGUCUUUUGAUUGUGUUUUGUUCGUGGGACGUUCCUUAUUUUUAUUUACAUACUGCUUCCGGGAGUUCAAUUAGUUUAAUUAUUUUUGGAUGAUUAAUUCAAUUUCUGGGAAGGAUACCUCCAAAGUGCAGGAUGGACUUUGCACAUCGUGAUCGUUUUUUCAGUUGGGUUUGGAGGUACCGGCAAUAUGGAGAAGCUGAUAAGUUUGGGAUGAAAACAAGCUAGAAACCACAUUACUCCUUUGGACUCAGAGCAAGGUUUGGGGUUCCUUCUGCUGCAUUGUAUCAAAUUUGUCAGGUAACAGGAUAAAAUAUUUGAUAUGGCCUUCAAUUUCUGUUCCAUCAUCAUCAGAUCAGAGAAAAAUGAUCAGAUUCACUGGUUCCUAUAUUGAGGCGUGCGAAGUAUCGCCUUUUCCGAUGCUCAUGUUGAUUUGGUCUUUGAAAGCCGCGGCUCUCAGCCUUAUCUCUGUCCCUUCCUUGCCAACCGUCAGCCUCCUCACAGCUUGCUCCAUCUCUUUCUGGUCUAGACCACACUCUAACUCCAAUCCCACCAUCCGAACGUGGCGCGAGUACCUCACCUUAGCAUUCUGGUCCCUGAAGCACGGUGGGCAUAUCAUUGGGACUCCUUUGGAAAUGAUUUCCAAGGUCGAAUUCCAUCUGCAAUGGGUCCAAAAGCUUCCUGUGGCACGGUGUGCUAAAACUUCCUCUAGAGCCCAUCUCGCAACACGGCCAGUUUCUUCGUUGGCUUCUUCGAACCCUUCUGGUAAUAGCUCGAUCCACUCUAAGCCUCUGUCUGAGCCAGGCCGGAUUAGCCACAAGAACGCUGCUGUUUGCCAACCCCCAAGCCAAUUCUGCAAACUUUCCCUAAUUCAUUGAAGCCAAGCUUCCUAAGCUCACAUAAAUAACUUAGGUAAAUUUGUAUGUAGAUUAAAAAAAAGUCUAUUUAUGAUUUUAAGCAAGCUUGUAGAUAAUGGUAUUUAAAGUUUCAUAGUGUUGUCAAAUAUAAAGUAUAUACUGUAUACAUUUUUUCGUACUUUAUGUAGAUGAUAUCUUACUUGCGAGUAAUGACAUUAGAUUAAUGGGACAAAAGUGGAUGUUAUCAAAAAAAUUUAACAUGAAAGAUCUUGGUGAUGCGUUUUUUGUUCUUGGCAUUGAGGUCCAUAUGGAUUGUUAUUGGGUUUGUUUUAGAGGGCAUAUGUUGAUCGUAUUUUAGAAAGAUUCAAUAUGCAUCAUUGCAAUCCGGGGUGAUAAGUUGAGUCUUUCACGAUAUCCUCGUUUAGAUUUUGAGAAAGUUCAAAUGAAUGAUGUACCUUAUGCUAGUAUGCUUGGAAGUAUCAUGUAUACUCAAGUUUACAUUAGACCAGAUUUAUUUUUGCGACAUGACUUCUAGGUAGAUAUUAGUCAAAUCUAGAAUGUGAUCACUGGGUUGUUGUCAAGAAGAUUUUAAGGUAUUUAAAGAGGACAAUAGAUUAUAUGCUGAUUUAUAGACAUGUUCCGAACUUACAACUAAUAGGGUAUUUGGAUGUAGAUUUUGCUGGUUGUUAAGAUGAUAUGAAAUCGACGGUGAAAUAUAUAUUUAUAUUGGCAGGAGGUGCAGAAAUCUAUAUAUUCUUCUACCAUGCAAAUAGAGUUUGUAGCAUGCUUUUCAGCUGCUAUUUAGGCGAUUUGGCUCUAGAAUCUUAUUAGGGAGUUAACUGUUUUUUAUUUUGUGGGUAGAGCUAUAUAGUUAUAAUAAUAAUAGAAGUCUCCAAAAGUCUAAGCAUAUGGAGGUCAAGUUUAUGACCAUAAAUGAAUCAGUACAGAAUAGUGGUGUUACAGUAGAUCAUAUUCCUACAGAUGAUAUGAUUGUAGAUCCAUUAACUAAAGACCUAUGCCCUUAUGUGUUUGAGUGAUAUGUCGUUAGCAUGGGUUUAGGAGUAUUUUGGGAUGUUGUUAUUUAGUGAAAGUUGUUUUUAUUUUUCUUUUAAUAAAGUUUAUAUUUGUGUUUUUUAUAUUUAGUAGCGUUUUGAUAUAUAUUAACAUUUGCAUUCAAUAAAAUAUUUUUAAAUAAAUUGUUAUUAUGUUGAAUAUAUAUUGAUAAAAGUCUUAAAUGUAUUAUAUAAACCUUAAGUGAAUGUUAAGGGCAUCGGGUUAUUAACCUUGAGUAUAUGUUUUAUCACACAUAAAGAAAUAUUAACUGUAAAGGCAAGGCAUAUGUGGGUUUACUAGAACCAUAAAAAUAUUUUCUAAUGGCAUAGAUUUUUGUGAUACUUAAAAUGAGAGAAUGGUGAUUGACAAAUGGGAUCUCUCUAUGAGAGAUGUUAUUCAUUUAUCACACUACCAUAUUAAAUCCAUAUCAAUAAAGUUAAAAGCACUCAUAAGCACUCGUGACCAUGAAAGGUUUUGUGUGUAUACAUGCAGCUCCUACCAUGAUUUGGUGUUUGAGACUUUAUAUGAUGUAAUUGACUAUUAAGAAUUAUCUCUUAAAUUAAUGCGCGCACAUACAAUACAAUUUCAAUUAAUAUAACUCAAGUGGAAGAGUAUAAAAGUUUUUCUAAUGUGGGUUACAUUAAUUAAUAUUGUAAUUUACCAUUUUUUGGGAUUGGUCUAAAGUGAGAUAGAAAGAUUUUUAAUUAAUUUAUAUGGGGCUAGUUAGUGUGGGUUAAGUUGAACUUGACUCGUAAUAAGAUGGCCUAGUUGGAACACUAUAGAUAGUCGUCAAGUCUCUCCUCUAACUCUAAUUUUCAUAAUUAUCCUCACAAAUGAGCAUUUACCUAACGCAAAAGGGUGAGGGGGUUGUCUCAUUGAGCCAAUGAUAUAGAGGGCAAAGAGGAGAAUGACUUGUGCUUGAAUCAUCGCUUUUUUGCUUUCGCAUCAAGAACGAUGAAUUCCAAAACAAGUGUAUUAAUUUUUUUACUUGAUUAUAUGUGUUUUUGUUCUAGUUAUGGAGAUAAUGAGUUACGUGUUUUAGCAUCUAACAUCCCUCUCUGAAGUCUAGAUCUAAAUUUGGGUUGCCCGUCUAAUGCUCCAUCGAGGGUUGCUAGGGGCGGUUGAGGAUCUAGAAGAGCACAUCUAGGUCAUUGGGGUCUAGGUUGGCAUGGGUCUAGGUUGCUAGUCUAAUGCUCCACUGAAUGUUGCGCAAGGUUUGUUGAUGAUGGCUAAGGUUGUCUGAUGGUUUGGGUUUGCUUGUUUGGGUCGAUGAUUGUGUGUUUAGGUCGCCUAUUUGUAUGCUCUAACGAGGGUCAUCAAGGGAGGCCGAGGGUCUCCAAGGAUUUGGGUUGACGAUCGCGUAGUUUAGGUUGUCGAGGUCAUGCGACCCUCAGGGUCUCCUAGCUUAGGCUACCCGAGGUUGCUUCACCUCGGUGUCACCUUGCAUGACCACUUCGACGAUUCAAUUGUUGCUGACAUUCAAUUUGCUUCCCAAGUUUGCUCCCAAGAUGAGAUAUCUCUACUCUCCAGUAGUUAUAUAGUUUAUUUUUUUUCGUUCUUUUUUCUACCUUCGAAGUUACAUUGCAAAAAUAUCAUGAAAGUCAUUUAACCAAACAAUAUUUACUUUGAGUCAAAGAUUCAUGGGGCAAUGACUUUGCAUUCUCUCAAAACUCUCCCAAACACGCAUUUUGAGUUACAGUGAUUGGUUUCAAGUUGGGUAGAUUUUAGACCUCAAAUCUGAAAUCUAAUCUAUUAGAACCGAUUCCAAGUUUUUGGAACCUAAAACCUAUUUUGUAUGUCUUGGAACCUGUCAUUCUUUUGUUCUUUUUUUUUUAGGUUCACUUUUUAUAGCAAAAAAAUAUAAGUAAUAAAAUGGUUCAAAGUAAAAGAUGACUAAGGGUGAAGGAGCAAAGGUGAGUUAGGAACGAGCGAGUGUGAGCCGUGAGUGAGCGAGGAGGAGGGUGAGUCGCCAGCAAGCGAGAGAGAAUUGCGAAAUGUUUGAGUAAGGUUGAAGAGAACAGAGAAAAAAGAGAUAGAAAAAUAUGUUAAGAGAAAAAUUGGGGUUUCUAAACUUUAUGAAACUUGUACCAAAUUUGAUUCAAUGACAUAUGGUUCUUCUUAACUGACCAAAAAAAGAAAAAAAGAAAAAAAAAAGACAUAUGGUUCUUCAGUUGAAAUUGCAAACAAGAUUGGUUCGAACGACUGAUGAUCCGGUUCUCGAAUAGAACUGGCCCGACAACAGAGCUCUACUAACAAACCCUAGUUUCAUAAAAAUCCUAGUAUCGUAAUGUCAUUUGCCCAGUAUUUACCUAGUAUGAGAUGAUUAUAUUUUUUUAGCAAGAGGAAUUCCUUUAAUCGCAUCUUUUGAUUAGUGGCAAAUAAACUUGAUUUAUAUUCAUGAUUUAGGAUCCAUCGAAUUUAAUUGGACAAAAUCUUAUUUAAUCAAGAAUAGAGGAAAUUAAGGGCGGUCGCAAAAUAGAAAUAGAAUUCGUCAUCAUCGUAAUGUGACGGACCAAGUGUUUCCAGAUAGACCUCCGGGGUUCGCCAUUUCGCUCGAACGUUCGUCCACCGACACUCAGAAAGACCGCGAAGGUACGAGAAUGAUCCUCUCUUUCCUAUUUAACUCCCAACUUGUCUUCCAGGCUCCAUCGUCAAACGGUAGCAAUUCUCAUCGUCUAUCUCAAGCAUUCUAUCGAACACUUUCUCCGCUCAGUCUCGCAUUUUCACCAGUAAACCCAACAACCAUGUCGCUCAUCCCAAGCUGGUUCGGCGGCCGCCGCAGCAAUGUCUUCGACCCUUUCUCCCUCGACCUCUGGGACCCCUUCAAGGAUUUCCCUUUCCCUUCCUCCUCCCUCUCCGCCUCUAAUUUCCCUCAAACCAUCCGAGAAAAUACUGCUUUUGUGAACACGAGGAUCGACUGGAGGGAGACCCCGGAGGCCCACGUGUUUAAGGCGGAUCUCCCAGGGCUCAAGAAGGAGGAAGUCAAGGUGGAGAUCGAGGACGAUCGGGUGCUCCAGAUAAGCGGCGAGAGGAACGUGGAGAAGGAGGACAAGAACGACACCUGGCACCGGGUGGAGAGGAGCAGCGGGAAGUUCAUGAGGAGGUUCAGGGUGCCGGAGAACGCGAGGAUGGAUCAGGUGAAGGCCUCGAUGGAGAAUGGG
Molecule: long non-coding RNA, 16434 nt
Filed under: Eucalyptus grandis
Lineage: Eukaryota; Viridiplantae; Streptophyta; Magnoliopsida; Myrtales; Myrtaceae
Description: long non-coding RNA (EGRA_LNC006028)
Source: RNAcentral